Pelobates cultripes (western spadefoot toad) is the source of this 745-nucleotide non-coding RNA. Lineage: Eukaryota; Metazoa; Chordata; Amphibia; Anura; Pelobatidae. The record is from the annotation of a GenBank genome assembly.
CUAAUGAUUUAACACCAAUUAAACUGGUGAAACUACUGAACUCCAACACGGUAAUACAUUUUACCGCUUUCUCGUGUUGAUCACACAGACAUUUUGUGUGAAUUGAACAAUGGCGCGAAUGCAAUUCACCUUCAUGUAAAAGAGAAAGUCAUGUGGCACAUUGUAAUCUGCAUCACUGUUUGCCAAGUUCUACCCACCCAAGGUAGUCACAGAGACGUUCUUUUUUUUAAUAUCCUCCAUUAAUAUUGUAUUGGUUCCAAUCCCUAUGUCUGGGUAAAUCUCACCUGAUCUAUGCAGAUAGAUUUAAAAUAAUAUGAAUAUACACAUUUCAAAAAGAAAAAAGUCAUGUCAUUCACAGCGAUUGUUAUCAAACUCAUUUUAGUUAAAGUGAUCCAGAUUUUACUUCAACGGCAAUAUUUCAAUCCUAUACUCAUGCCUCAAGUAAAGUUAUUUUAUGGGAGUAAAAAUAAUAAAGAAUCACAGAGCAGAGAAUUGCUAGUAAACACAUAAAUUAUAUUUUAUUUGUUUAGCUCUUACCCCAUGCCACAGGUAAAACUACAUUGAAGGUAAAGUUGACAGUCAUAUAUUGUAGUAAGCGUACAGGAAUCUGCUGACUGCUAAUAUAUUCCACAAUUCCUAGUGUACAUCCAAACGCCAGGCAUUGUGGGAUGCUGCACAUAAGAAAUACUGUGUAUCCUUCAUCCACUUAGUAGCCAUCUAGGUGGAGGCAGAAGGAGGUCUCCAG